RNAcentral lists this long non-coding RNA (888 nucleotides) under Equus caballus (horse). RNAcentral's name for it is "lncRNA (ENSECAG00000031847.3)". Lineage: Eukaryota; Metazoa; Chordata; Mammalia; Perissodactyla; Equidae. The record is from RNAcentral.
AGACAGUCCAAGGAGAGCGUGGGAGGACCGGCUAACGGAAGAAGGCAGCAAGACCCUAGAGAAAACAUAAGCCAUGGAGAAACUAAUGGAUUCCCCUGCUAAAAUUUCACUUUGAAAGUAAAGAUAAAAUGAAGACAUAGCAUGAAGGCACUCUCAAAGAAAUAAAAAUAUCCACAGACGGACAUAUAUCUAACUGAUAAAUGGUGUGAUAUUUCAUCGUUGCUCCUGUUGAAAGUCUCAAGAUCUCAGCAGAACAAUUUUCCAAGUCAGAGUCACCCUGUCGCGAGUGAUGUGAAUUUGGUUGGGAAUACAAGGAGAGUUGAAGGUGGGUAUCAGAAGCGUUCAAGAGAGGAGCCUAGAGCAGACUUCAGAACUCCAAGCCAGACUCCUAUGACAUUUCCCUACAGCUGAGGAGGAGAAGGAGCAAGAUAGGAGGAGAGGAAAGAAGAGGAGGAGGAACAGAGCAAACAUAUGCAUGCCUAUAAGUAAAUCUAACCAAUCAGCAGUCAAGUGCAGUCCUUUUUGAAAUUGCAGAAGUCUCUCAAGCAUAUAAUUUGUGGCUUCCAGUGAGUUUGAACUUCAUGCUUGAAGUGAUGCACUAGUAGGUGAUUUAAUUCGUGCACCUGUGUCUGGAUUUCUUCCAGACACAAUGAAACGGGUAACUACUUCAGGAUUUACCUAAUAAGGAUUGCAGCGAGACAUCAGAAAGGCACUGAUUGGCAUAUGUGGGCAGGAAAAGGAACAACGAGCUUCCAGUAGAGCUGUGAUAGACACCUGGGUUCAGCCCUUGAGACAAAAACUGAGCAUUUCUCAGCUCCCAAGGCCAAGCCCUUUGGCUUCAAUGAUGUACAAUUUUCUCAUUACAAAUACUAUUGUACCCAAAGGAAU